GGCCUUGUAGCUCAGUGGAAGAGCGCUCGUUUCCGAUGCGAGAAGUCCCAGGUUCGAACCCUGGUUAGGUCG
Molecule: transfer RNA, 72 nt
Filed under: Coemansia sp. RSA 552
Lineage: Eukaryota; Fungi; Kickxellomycota; Kickxellomycetes; Kickxellales; Kickxellaceae
Description: tRNA-Arg
Rfam family: tRNA
About the family: Transfer RNA (tRNA) molecules are approximately 80 nucleotides in length.
Source: RNAcentral